Molecule: ribosomal RNA, 465 nt
Filed under: Vreelandella stevensii
Lineage: Bacteria; Pseudomonadati; Pseudomonadota; Gammaproteobacteria; Oceanospirillales; Halomonadaceae
Description: partial 16S ribosomal RNA
Rfam family: Bacterial small subunit ribosomal RNA
Source: RNAcentral
CCUACGGGUGGCUGCAGUGGGGAAUAUUGGACAAUGGGCGAAAGCCUGAUCCAGCCAUGCCGCGUGUGUGAAGAAGGCCUUCGGGUUGUAAAGCACUUUCAGUGGGGAAGAAAGCCUUGGGGCUAAUACCCUCGAGGAAGGACAUCACCCACAGAAGAAGCACCGGCUAACUCCGUGCCAGCAGCCGCUGUAAUACGGAGGGUGCGAGCGUUAAUCGGAAUUACUGGGCGUAAAGCGCGCGUAGGCGGUCUGAUAAGCCGGUUGUGAAAGCCCCGGGCUCAACCUGGGAACGGCAUCCGGAACUGUCAGGCUAGAGUGCAGGAGAGGAAGGUAGAAUUCCCGGUGUAGCGGUGAAAUGCGUAGAGAUCGGGAGGAAUACCAGUGGCGAAGGCGGCCUUCUGGACUGACACUGACGCUGAGGUGCGAAAGCGUGGGUAGCAAACAGGAUUAGAUACCCCGGUAGUC